RNAcentral lists this ribosomal RNA (472 nucleotides) under uncultured bacterium. RNAcentral describes it as "bacterial SSU rRNA". It matches the Rfam family "Bacterial small subunit ribosomal RNA", at positions 355 to 825 of the family's 1533-position model. The record is from RNAcentral.
UGGGGAAUUUUGGACAAUGGGGGCAACCCUGAUCCAGCCAUUCCGCGUGAGUGAAGAAGGCCUUCGGGUUGUAAAGCUCUUUCAGCAGGAACGAAACGGUCGGCUUUAAUAAAGUCGGCUAAUGACGGUACCUGCAGAAGAAGCACCGGCUAACUACGUGCCAGCAGCCGCGGUAAUACGUAGGGUGCGAGCGUUAAUCGGAAUUACUGGGCGUAAAGCGUGCGCAGGCGGCGACAUAAGACAGAUGUGAAAUCCCCGGGCUCAACCUGGGAACUGCGUUUGUGACUGUGUUGCUAGAGUGUAGCAGAGGGGGGUGGAAUUCCACGUGUAGCAGUGAAAUGCGUAGAGAUGUGGAGGAACACCGAUGGCGAAGGCAGCCCCCUGGGUUAACACUGACGCUCAUGCACGAAAGCGUGGGGAGCAAACAGGAUUAGAUACCCACGUAGUCCCUGAGCGGGCUGGCAAGGCGCAU